RNAcentral lists this ribosomal RNA (467 nucleotides) under uncultured bacterium. Its description in RNAcentral is "partial 16S ribosomal RNA". It matches the Rfam family "Bacterial small subunit ribosomal RNA", at positions 28 to 506 of the family's 1533-position model. The record is from RNAcentral.
GACGAACGCUGGCGGCGUGCUUAACACAUGCAAGUCGAACGGAAAGGCCCUGCUUUUGUGGGGUGCUCGAGUGGCGAACGGGUGAGUAACACGUGAGUAACCUGCCCUUGACUUUGGGAUAACUUCAGGAAACUGGGGCUAAUACCGGAUAGGAGCUCCUGCUGCAUGGUGGGGGUUGGAAAGUUUCGGCGGUUGGGGAUGGACUCGCGGCUUAUCAGCUUGUUGGUGGGGUAGUGGCUUACCAAGGCUUUGACGGGUAGCCGGCCUGAGAGGGUGACCGGCCACAUUGGGACUGAGAUACGGCCCAGACUCCUACGGGAGGCAGCAGUGGGGAAUAUUGCACAGUGGGCGGAAGCCUGAUGCAGCAACGCCGCGUGCGGGAUGACGGCCUUCGGGUUGUAAACCGCUUUCGCCUGUGACGAAGCGUGAGUGACGGUAAUGGGGAAAGAAGCACCGGCUAACUACGU